GACGUAGGGGACGAGCGUUGUCCGGAUUUAUUGGGCGUAAAGAGCGCGUAGGCGGCUUGGUAAGUCGGAUGUGAAAUCCCGGGGCUCAACCUCGGAACUGCCUUUGAUACUGCAAGUCUCGAGUCCGGAAGAGGUGGGUGGAAUUCCUAGUGUAGAGGUGAAAUUCGUAGAUAUUAGGAAGAACACCAGUGGCGAAGGCGGCUCACUGGUCCGGUACUGACGCUGAGGUGCGAAAGCGUGGGGAGCAAACAGG
Molecule: ribosomal RNA, 253 nt
Filed under: uncultured bacterium
Lineage: Bacteria
Description: partial 16S ribosomal RNA
Rfam family: Bacterial small subunit ribosomal RNA
Source: RNAcentral